UACGUAGGGUGCAAGCGUUAUCCGGAUUUAUUGGGCGUAAAGGGCUCGUAGGCGGUUCGUCGCGUCCGGUGUGAAAGUCCAUCGCUUAACGGUGGAUCCGCGCCGGGUACGGGCGGGCUUGAGUGCGGUAGGGGAGACUGGAAUUCCCGGUGUAACGGUGGAAUGCAUAGAUAUCACGCAGAACUCCGAUUGCGAAGGCAGCAUACCGGCGCCCAACUGACGCUCAGGCACGAAAGCGUGGGUAUCGAACAGG
RNAcentral lists this ribosomal RNA (253 nucleotides) under uncultured Bifidobacterium sp. Its description in RNAcentral is "partial 16S ribosomal RNA". It matches the Rfam family "Bacterial small subunit ribosomal RNA", at positions 524 to 776 of the family's 1533-position model. Lineage: Bacteria; Bacillati; Actinomycetota; Actinomycetes; Bifidobacteriales; Bifidobacteriaceae. The record is from RNAcentral.